Molecule: ribosomal RNA, 460 nt
Filed under: uncultured bacterium
Lineage: Bacteria
Description: partial 16S ribosomal RNA
Rfam family: Bacterial small subunit ribosomal RNA
Source: RNAcentral
CCUACGGGGGGCUGCAGUGAGGAAUAUUGGUCAAUGGACGAGAGUCUGAACCAGCCAAGUAGCGUGAAGGAUGACUGCCCUAUGGGUUGUAAACUUCUUUUAUAUGGGAAUAAAAUGUUCCACGUGUGGGAUUUUGUAUGUACCAUAUGAAUAAGGAUCGGCUAACUCCGUGCCAGCAGCCGCGGUAAUACGGAGGAUCCGAGCGUUAUCCGGAUUUAUUGGGUUUAAAGGGAGCGUAGGUGGAUUGUUAAGUCAGUUGUGAAAGUUUGCGGCUCAACCGUAAAAUUGCAGUUGAAACUGGCAGUCUUGAGUACAGUAGAGGUGGGCGGAAUUCGUGGUGUAGCGGUGAAAUGCUUAGAGAUCAAGAAGAACUCCGAUUGCGAAGGCAGUUCACUGGACUGCAACUGACACUGAGGCUCGAAAGUGUGGGUAUCAAACAGGAUUAGAUACCCCUGUAGUC